This 57-nucleotide microRNA precursor is filed under the name Dasypus novemcinctus (nine-banded armadillo). RNAcentral describes it as "miRNA (ENSDNOG00000034727.1)". Lineage: Eukaryota; Metazoa; Chordata; Mammalia; Cingulata; Dasypodidae. The record is from RNAcentral.
AAUAGCUCAGGAUGUCACUUCUGUUUUAGAUAACGGAAUUGAUAACUGAGCAAGGAA